Molecule: ribosomal RNA, 483 nt
Filed under: uncultured bacterium
Lineage: Bacteria
Description: partial 16S ribosomal RNA
Rfam family: Bacterial small subunit ribosomal RNA
Source: RNAcentral
AUUGAACGCUGGCGGCAGGCCUAACACAUGCAAGUCGAGCGGAUGAAGGGAGCUUGCUCCUGGAUUCAGCGGCGGACGGGUGAGUAAUGCCUAGGAAUCUGCCUGGUAGUGGGGGAUAACGUCCGGAAACGGGCGCUAAUACCGCAUACGUCCUGAGGGAGAAAGUGGGGGAUCUUCGGACCUCACGCUAUCAGAUGAGCCUAGGUCGGAUUAGCUAGUUGGUGGGGUAAAGGCCUACCAAGGCGACGAUCCGUAACUGGUCUGAGAGGAUGAUCAGUCACACUGAAACUGGGAACCGGCCCAACCUCCUACGGGAGGCAGAGGUGGGAAAUUUUGGAAAAUGGGCGAAAGCCUGUCCAAGCCAGGCCGGGUGUGUGAAGAAGGCCUUCGGAUUGUAAAGCACUUAAAGUUGGAGGAAGGGCAGUAAGUUAAUACCUUGCUGUUUUGACGUUACCAACAGAAUAAGCACCGGCUAACUUCGUG